CCGAACUGUGGGGGAUAGCCGGCCUAACGGCCGAGUAAUACCGCAUACGCUUUCAGUGAGGCAUUUCAUUGAAAGGAAACCUACGGGACAGAUCGAGGGGCUCGCGGCNUAUCUGCUAAUUGGUGAGGUAACGGCUCACCAAGGCAACGACGGGUAGCUGGUCUGAGAGGAUGGCCAGCCACAUUGGGACUGAGAUACGGCCCAGACUCCUACGGGAGGCAGCAGUGGGGAAUCUUGCGCAAUGGCCUAACGGCUGACGCAGCGACGCCGCGUGUGGGAUGAAGCUCUUCGGAGUGUAAACCACUGUUGCCCGGGACGAACAGCUCGAUUAAUCGAGCCUGACGGUACCGGGUGAGGAAGCACCGGCUAACUCCGUGCCAGCAGCCGCGGUAAUACGGGGGGUGCGAGCGUUGUCCGGAAUCACUGGGCGUAAAGGGCGCGUAGGUGGUUUGAUAAGGGUGUGGUGAAAGUCCGGGGCUCAACCCCGGAUCUGCCGUGCCGACUGUCAGACUCGAGGGCUGUAGAGGCAGACGGAAUUCCGGGUGUAGCGGUGGAAUGCGCAGAUAUCAGGAGGAACACCGGUGGCGAAGGCGGUCUGCUGGGCAGUUUCUGACACUGAUGCGCGACAGCGUGGGGAGCAAACAGGAUUAGAUACCCUGGUAGUCCACGCCGUAAACGAUGGGUACUAGGUGCCUGGGGGAGCGACCCUCUGGGUG
RNAcentral lists this ribosomal RNA (716 nucleotides) under uncultured Gemmatimonas sp. RNAcentral describes it as "bacterial SSU rRNA". It matches the Rfam family "Bacterial small subunit ribosomal RNA", at positions 129 to 845 of the family's 1533-position model. The record is from RNAcentral. Lineage: Bacteria; Pseudomonadati; Gemmatimonadota; Gemmatimonadia; Gemmatimonadales; Gemmatimonadaceae.